AACGAACGCUGGCGGCAUGCCUAACACAUGCAAGUCGAACGAGACCUUCGGGUCUAGUGGCGCACGGGUGCGUAACGCGUGGGAACCUGCCCUUAGGUUCGGAAUAACUCCCCGAAAGGGGUGCUAAUACCGGAUAAUGUCUUCGGCCCAACGAUUUAUCGCCUUUGGAUGGGCCCGCGUUGGAUUAGCUAGUUGGUAGGGUAAAAGCCUACCAAGGCGACGAUCCAUAGCUGGUCUGAGAGGACGAUCAGCCACACUGGGACUGAGACACGGCCCAGACUCCUACGGGAGGCAGCAGUGGGGAAGAAUGGACAAUGGGCGAAAGCCUGAUCCAGCAAUGCCGCGUGAGUGAGGAAGGCCUUAGGGUUGUAAAGCUCUUUUACCCGGGAUGAUAAUGACAGUACCGGGAGAAUAAGCUCCGGCUAACUCCGU
This 432-nucleotide ribosomal RNA is filed under the name uncultured bacterium. RNAcentral's name for it is "partial 16S ribosomal RNA". It matches the Rfam family "Bacterial small subunit ribosomal RNA", at positions 29 to 506 of the family's 1533-position model. The record is from RNAcentral.